Molecule: ribosomal RNA, 440 nt
Filed under: uncultured bacterium
Lineage: Bacteria
Description: bacterial SSU rRNA
Rfam family: Bacterial small subunit ribosomal RNA
Source: RNAcentral
CCUACGGGUGGCAGCAGUGGGGAAUAUUGGACAAUGGGCGCAAGCCUGAUCCAGCAAUGCCGCGUGAGUGAAGAAGGCCUUAGGGUUGUAAAGCUCUUUCACCCACGACGAUGAUGACGGUAGUGGGAGAAGAAGCCCCGGCUAACUCCGUGCCAGCAGCCGCGGUAAUACGGAGGGGGCUAGCGUUGUUCGGAAUUACUGGGCGUAAAGCGCACGUAGGCGGCGCGUCAAGUCAGGGGUGAAAGGCCUGGGCUCAACCUGGGAACGGCCUUUGAUACUGGCGUGCUGGAGUCCGGAAGAGGGUGGCGGAAUUCCCAGUGUAGAGGUGAAAUUCGUAGAUAUUGGGAAGAACACCGGUGGCGAAGGCGGUCACCUGGUCCGGGACUGACGCUGAGGUGCGAAAGCGUGGGGAGCAAACAGGAUUAGAUACCCGAGUAGUC